GCUCUGUCCACCAAAGCCUGUUGACUGCCUUGACUCUGGGUGCUCCUUCUCCUCCUCAUUCAUCACCAAUCAGCUCUUAGGAAAGCACCUGCUAGCAGUCAUUUACACCUGAGCCUGAAUUUAAGUCAACAUUUAAUUCUCCCAGGUGCAUUUCCUUUUUUUUUUCUGAGACAGUCUUGCUCUGUCACCCAGGCUGGAGUACAAUGGCAUGAUCUUAGCUCACUGCAACCUCCGCCUCCUGGGUUCAAGUGAUUCUCCUGCCUCAGCCUCCUGAGUAGCUGUGAUUUACAGGUGCCCGCCACCACACCUGGCUAAUUUUUGUAUUUUUAGUAGAGAUGCGGGGGGGGGGUUUCACCAUGUUGGUCAGGCUGGUCUCGAACUCCUGACCUCAGGUGAUCCACCUGCCUCAGCCUCCCAAAAUUCUGGGAUUACAGGCGUAAGCCACUGUGCCUGGCCACAUUUGCUUUUGAAGCCCCAUCCUGUCUUCUAGAUUGUUCCCUGGCAAUGGCAAUUCCAGCACUGGGGAGAAGAGAGGCCAGGCAGGGCUCAUGAUUCUCACCCUGGAGACCCUGCCGCUUGCCUACUCUUAUUGCCUGAUGGACACAUAGUUCAGUGCAGUUAAACUGCACUGGAGCCAGAUCUAUGUGUCCAUAGUUCAGAGUGAGUUUGUCAGGAGCUGUCAGGGAGUAAGGCUGGGUAGAUAGAUGGAGUCAGACUCAUUCAAAAAUAGAAAAUCAGCAGAUAGGUUUAAAAAUGAAAAGAAGCAAGACAGAGUGAAGGUGGUUUCUAAACCAAACACCUGUCCCUUCUGUUUGUUUUCUGGUUUCUUUCCCCAUUGUUGGAGAAUGCUAGAAGGCAGACUGGCAAUUAAGUUCCUGGCCUGGCAUGGUGGCUUACACCUGUAAUCCCAGCAACUUAGGAGGCUGAGGCAGGAGGGGAUCACUUGAGCCCAGGAAUUUGAGACCAACCCGGGCAACAUGUUGAAACCCCAUCUCUACAAAAAAUACAAAAAUUAGCCAGGCAUGGUGGUGCAUGCCUCUGGUCUCAGCUACUUGGGGAGGCUGAUGUGGGAGGGUUGCUUGAACCCAGGAGGUCAAGAUUUCAGUGAACCAUGAUGGCCCCACUGCACUCCAGCCUGGGUGACAGAGCAAGACCUUGUCUCAAAAAACAAACAAACAAACAAACAAACAAACAAAAAACUCUUACAUUCGAAGUGCCUGGUGCAGGGAGAGUUUCUGAGGCCUCAUGUUUACCAGGGCACUGUGCUAUGUGCGGGAUAGUGAGGGGGAGAGACACCAUUCCAACACCUUGGAGGUGAGGUCUAGAGUCAGGAUCACAGAUGAAGGAGAGGAAGAGACUCCCACUACAAAUGGGCUGGGCUUCCCUGCUUUUGCCCACUGAGUGAACAACAGUGCUCUUUCUGUAGGUCUCUCUGAGCCUUAAGCAUGGAAUGCGAUGAGAUUGAAAGUGAUAAAAUGUAUUGCCGAAACUUCUCUUCAUUGAAAUGCAAAGGGGAAUAAAGAAUUUAGAAAUGAUCUGAGGUUUCCAGCUUGGGGAGAGAGAAAGUGAGAGGAAGUGGGGCCCUCAGGGGAAUGGAAUGAACACCUCCAAUUUCAGGCUUGUAGAUUGCAGUGGGGGGAGGCAGCUACAUGCACAUGUCCUUCCUGGAUGCUGGAAACAAGGUCAAAGCAGAGAUGGACAAGUAGGAGCGCAGCCUAGAGGAGAUAGGUGAUGCCUGAGCCAUGAGAAGGGUGUUAUCUCUGCAGGAGGAAGAAUUGCAACACCGCCUCCCAGCUGAGCAAACAGUCUGGGAUGUGAGUGGUAUCACACUCUGCACUCACUUCCUCCUUCAGUGGUCAUUUGAGAGUUCACUGGGGCUGACCUACCCGCCUGGUCCUGAAGGACAGAAAGGAAUGGAGAAUAAAGAAGGUCCAAGGUGCAUCUCUUCCUCCUCUUCCAAAGCCACCAAGGCACCUAUGGAUUUGCAGGCUGUGUGUGGUCACUGUGGACGGAGAGACUCCUACCCCACUGGGGGGCUUUGCCAUGCCAAGGCACAAAUCACAGCUUCUCUUUGCCCUCUGAAGUCAAAGGGAGAAGAUAGGGGUUGUCCAUCUUUUUUGGCAGCCUCAGAUGAUCCAACCUAAUAUACGUCAUUAACUAAUUGUGUGAUCUUGAACAAGUCACUUUAUCUCAUUGUGACUCAAGUGAACAUAGGGGUAUAGAGCAUUUGCCCUGCUGACCUCAUUGGAGCAUUGUGAAAUAAUAGCUAAUGAGAUAGUGCAUAGCAGGUGUUUUGCAAACUUAACAGUGAUAGGCAUAGCUUAGUUCCCAUGAGAAUGACUCUGACGAUUAUCCGUGGCAUUGGAAUACCGACCUCCCAUCCCUGAGAAAGCUCCAGGGGCAAAAUCCUGCUGAUCUCAUACUGUAGGACCAGAUUUCUUCUUUACAGGACAGGACAGGGUCUUGCUGUGUUGUCCAGGCUGGAAUACAGUGGUGUGACCAUAGCUCACUGCAGCCUCAAACUCCUGGCCUCAAAUGAUGCCACCUCAGCCUCCCAAAUUGCUGGGAUUCCAGUGGCGUGACUGGCAACCUGUGUGGUCUCCAAAACUGGAGCCCCAGCGAGAGGAACAGAUUCCCCAGCCGGCCAGAAACUGCCCAGCCUUGUGUCUACCCGCUGCCCAAGCUCAGAGCACUUCUCCCCGUCUCAGCACAUGCUGCCAGUGAGCCUUCUCUGCACCUUUUCAACUUGAGCUUUUCUCCAGAGGAGGCCACAGUGCCUUUCCUGAAGUUCCCAGCACUGCUUUUAAGAGGGCAGAGGAUGCAGAGGCCAAGAUGGAGAGCUGGUGAUGUCAUGUGAGGAAGACUUGACCAGCCAUUGUGAGCUUUGAAGAUGGUGGAAGGGGCCAUGAGCCAAGGAAUGUGGGCAGCCCCUAGAAGUUAGAAAAGUUCUUGUUCAGUUGCUCAAGCUCCUUCCCUUAGGACACCAGGACAGAAUCGCUAAGAUUGCUAAGACCCCAGGACAGUUUCCGGUAAGAAUGGCUAUAAAAGCACCACCAAGAUUCAAUCUUUAAAAGGCAGUGGCACAGAUUAUGCAUUUCCCUAUAAACUUGAAGUGUGUGGUUGGUGGGGGAGGGUACAGAGAAGCAGGUUCAGAGCUGGGCAUCAGCCCUUCGAAGUCACUGUCACACCACGCAGCUUGUUCUGGGGACACAGGGUUGGGCUGGGACUCCCCACAUUGGCCCUCAGUUUUCUUACCUGUGAGUUGAAUAUCCAGUGACCUCAGGAGGCCUCUUUGAUGUUUUAUCAUUUGAAGUAAUGAAAUGAUGCUGGAGAACUGAAAAAUCAUGCAACAUUUUCUUUUCUUUUGAGAUACAGUAUCACUCUGUCACCUAGGCUGGAGUGCAGUGGCACAACCUUGGCUAACUGUAGUCUCUGCCUCCCGAGUUCAAGUGAUUCUCCUGCCUCAGCAUCCAGAAUAGCUGGGACUACAAGUGUGCAUCACCAUGCUUGGCUAAUUUUCGUAUUUUUAGUAGAGACAGGGUUUCACCAUGUUGGCCAGACUGGUCUCAAACUCCUGACUUCAAGUGAUCCACGCGCCUCAGCCUCCCAAAGUGAUGUUACAGGCACGAGCCACCACGCCUGGCCAAAAUAAUGGAACACAUUCUAAAUACCAAGCAUGUUAGUUACAUAAUUUCAUUAGUUCCUCACGGCAGUUCUGCAAGGUCAUUAUGUCAAGUGGGUUCCGUUUUACGGAUGAGAACAUAGAGGCUGAGAGAGGUCGAGCAGUUUUUCAAGUCAUCCAGCUAGUAAGCUGAGGAACCAGGAAUUAUAUCAUGACGUCAGAAGCCUAUGCUUUUCCCUGUGACAUCAUGACACCUCCCCAGAAGGGCCCUGGGCCUGGAUCAUGCUGAGGACAGGAUCCGGGUGGCCAAACUGCAGGCUGAGUCCAGGAAUCAUGCUCUUGGGGAAAAUUUUUUGGCAUGCUGGGAUGGCAAAACUUGGGGUGACAAGAAUAACUCUUUGGCAGCACAAGUGUCUGUGAGUUUGUUUCUUUUCCUGACUUGCCUGGGAGCCAGUUCUGUGGUCUUGCCUAAGUCACUUGUCUUCCCUGGGCUUCAGUCUUCUGGUCUGUGAAAUGGGGAAGAUGGACUAGAAUCAGU
This is a long non-coding RNA of Callithrix jacchus (white-tufted-ear marmoset), 4160 nucleotides long. RefSeq lists it as uncharacterized. Lineage: Eukaryota; Metazoa; Chordata; Mammalia; Primates; Cebidae. The record is from RefSeq and is a predicted model, not a curated record.